GCGAGUGAAGCGGCAAAAGCUCAAAUUUGAAAUCUGGCACCUUCGGUGUCCGAGUUGUAAUUUGAAGAAGGUAACCUUGGGGUUGGCUCUUGUCUAUGUUUCUUGGAACAGAACGUCACAGAGGGUGAGAAUCCCGUGCGAUGAGAUGCCCAAUUCUAUGUAAGGUGCUUUCGAAGAGUCGAGUUGUUUGGGAAUGCAGCUCUAAGUGGGUGGUAAAUUCCAUCUAAAGCUAAAUAUUGGCGAGAGACCGAUAGCGAACAAGUACAGUGAUGGAAAGAUGAAAAGAACUUUGAAAAGAGAGUGAAAAAGUACGUGAAAUUGUUGAAAGGGAAGGGUAUGAGAUCAGACUUGGUGUUUUGCAACCUUACUCUCGGGUGGGGCCCCUGCAGUUCAUCGGGCCAGCAUCAGUUUGGAUGGUAGGAUAAUGACAUUGGAAAGUGGCUUGGCUUCGGUCAAGUGUUAUAGCCUUUGUUGAUACUACCUGUCUAGACUGAGGACUGCGUCUUUGACUAGGAUGCUGGCAUAAUGAUCCUAUACCGCCC
Molecule: ribosomal RNA, 542 nt
Filed under: [Candida] sp. GA1S01
Lineage: Eukaryota; Fungi; Ascomycota; Saccharomycetes; Saccharomycetales
Description: eukaryotic LSU rRNA
Rfam family: Eukaryotic large subunit ribosomal RNA
Source: RNAcentral